Molecule: ribosomal RNA, 1583 nt
Filed under: Leclercia adecarboxylata
Lineage: Bacteria; Pseudomonadati; Pseudomonadota; Gammaproteobacteria; Enterobacterales; Enterobacteriaceae
Description: bacterial SSU rRNA
Rfam family: Bacterial small subunit ribosomal RNA
Source: RNAcentral
AUUAAACUUUUGAUCCUGGCUCAGAUUGAACGCUGGCGGCAGGCCCUAACACAAGCAAGGUCGAAACGGGGUAGCCACAGAGAGCUUUGGCCUCCUCGGGGCUCCCUUUGACGAGCGUGCGGACGGGGUGAGUAAUGUCUGGGAAAACCUGCCCCUGAUUGGGGAGGGGGGGAUAACUACUGGAAAACGGUAGCCUAAUACCGCAUAACGUCGCAAGACCAAAGAGGGGGACCUUCGGGCCUCUUGCCAUCAGAUGUGCCCAGAUGGGAUUAGCUAGUAGGUGGGGUAACGGCUCACCUAGGCGACGAUCCCUAGCUGGUCUGAGAGGAUGACCAGCCACACUGGAACUGAGACACGGUCCAGACUCCUACGGGAGGCAGCAGUGGGGAAUAUUGCACAAUGGGCGCAAGCCUGAUGCAGCCAUGCCGCGUGUAUGAAGAAGGCCUUCGGGUUGUAAAGUACUUUCAGCGGGGAGGAAGGUGAUGAGGUUAAUAACCUCAGUCAAUUGACGUUACCCGCAGAAGAAGCACCGGCUAACUCCGUGCCAGCAGCCGCGGUAAUACGGAGGGUGCAAGCGUUAAUCGGAAUUACUGGGCGUAAAGCGCACGCAGGCGGUCUGUCAAGUCGGAUGUGAAAUCCCCGGGCUCAACCUGGGAACUGCAUUCGAAACUGGCAGGCUAGAGUCUUGUAGAGGGGGGUAGAAUUCCAGGGGUAGCGGUGAAAUGCGUAGAGAUUCUGGAGGAAUACCGGUGGCGAAGGCGCCCCCCUGGACAAAGACUGACCGCUCAGGUGCGAAAGCGUGGGGAGCAAACAGGAUUAGAUACCCUGGUAGUCCACGCCGUAAACGAUGUCGACUUGGAGGUUGUGCCCUUGAGGAGUGGCUUCCGGAGCUAACGCGUUUAAGUCGACCGCCUGGGGAGUACGGCCGCAAGGUUAAAACUCAAAUGAAUUGACGGGGGCCCGCACAAGCGGUGGAGCAUGUGGUUUAAUUCGAUGCAACGCGAAGAACCUUACCUACUCUUGACAUCCAGAGAACUUAGCAGAGAUGCUUUGGUGCCUUCGGGAACUCUGAGACAGGUGCUGCAUGGCUGUCGUCAGCUCGUGUUGUGAAAUGUUGGGUUAAGUCCCGCAACGAGCGCAACCCUUAUCCUUUGUUGCCAGCGGUCCGGCCGGGAACUCAAAGGAGACUGCCAGUGAUAAACUGGAGGAAGGUGGGGAUGACGUCAAGUCAUCAUGGCCCUUACGAGUAGGGCUACACACGUGCUACAAUGGCGCAUACAAAGAGAAGCGACCUCGCGAGAGCAAGCGGACCUCAUAAAGUGCGUCGUAGUCCGGAUUGGAGUCUGCAACUCGACUCCAUGAAGUCGGAAUCGCUAGUAAUCGUAGAUCAGAAUGCUACGGUGAAUACGUUCCCGGGCCUUGUACACACCGCCCGUCACACCAUGGGAAGUGGGUUGCAAAAGAAGUAGGUAGCUUAACCCUUCGGGGAGGGCGCUUACCACUUAUCCGCCUGAUUCAUGACUGGGGUGAAAGUCGUAACAAGGUAACCGUAGGGGAACCUGCGGCUGGAUCACCUCCUUAAU